CAGCCGCCACGGUAACACGGAGGGUGCAAGCGUUAUCCGGAUUCACUGGGUUUAAAGGGUGCGUAGGCGGAUCUGUAAGUCAGUGGUGAAAUCUCCAGGCUUAACCUGGAAACUGCCGUUGAUACUAUAGGUCUUGAAUUUUGUGGAGGUUAGCGGAAUAUGUCAUGUAGCGGUGAAAUGCAUAGAUAUGACAUAGAACACCAAUUGCGAAGGCAGCUGGCUACACAACUAUUGACGCUGAGGCACGAAAGCGUGGGGAUCAAACAGGAUUAGAUACCCCCGUAGUCCCUGUCUCUUAUAC
RNAcentral lists this ribosomal RNA (301 nucleotides) under uncultured bacterium. RNAcentral's name for it is "partial 16S ribosomal RNA". It matches the Rfam family "Bacterial small subunit ribosomal RNA", at positions 509 to 807 of the family's 1533-position model. The record is from RNAcentral.